Molecule: ribosomal RNA, 253 nt
Filed under: uncultured bacterium
Lineage: Bacteria
Description: partial 16S ribosomal RNA
Rfam family: Bacterial small subunit ribosomal RNA
Source: RNAcentral
UACAGAGGGUGCGAGCGUUAAUCGGAAUUACUGGGCGUAAAGCGUGCGUAGACGGUCAUUUAAGUCGGAUGUGAAAGCCCCGGGCUCAACCUGGGAACUGCAUUCGAGACUGCAUUGCUCGAGUAUGGGAGAGGGAAGUGGAAUUUCCGGUGUAGCGGUGAAAUGCGUAGAUAUCGGAAGGAACAUCAGUGGCGAAAGCGACUUCCUGGACCAAUACUGACACUCAAGUGCGAAAGCGUGGGGAGCAAACAGG